RNAcentral lists this long non-coding RNA (4846 nucleotides) under Marmota monax (woodchuck). The record is from RNAcentral. Lineage: Eukaryota; Metazoa; Chordata; Mammalia; Rodentia; Sciuridae.
UAGCAUUGACCUGUGGCGCGCUCCGUGGUUCCUAAGCCUGAAGUUUUAGUCGCGGUGGAGGCAGUUGGAAAACAGUAAGAUGUCAUUGGUCAGAGUGAACCGUUACCGUCCCCGGGGAAGUGGAAGAAAAACACUGAAAGUGAAGAAGAAGAAAACUUCAGUGAAGCAAGAAUGGGAUAAUACUGUGAAUGAUCUAACAGUUCAUCGGGCAACUCCUGAAGAUCUGGUACGUCGUCAUGAAAUACAUAAAUCGAAGAAUAGAGCUUUAGUGCACUGGGAACUCCAAGAAAAAGCUUUGAAGAGAAAACGGAGGAAGCAGAAACUAGAAUCUUCAAGUCUUGAGAAAAGAAGAUUGUCUAUCAUGAGAGAGGUAAUGCUAAAAUGCAUUACCUUUAGAAUUAGAGGAAAGAGAUAAAUAGGUUUCUUUUUCCCUCAACUUGAUUGAUAUUAUAGAGACUAGUUAUUACUAUAUCUAUAUGAUCUACAUGUAGAUUUUUAAAGUAGCAGCAAAUGAUGAUUUGGCAGUUUGAAUUCUUGCUCCAUAACUUACUAGCUGUGUAACUUUAAGCAAUUUAUUUACUUUCUUAGCCUGAAUUUUCUCAUCUAUAAAAUGCCUUCUUUUGAGAUUUUAAUGAUAUAAUACUUAUAUAGUGAUCAGCACAGUCCUUGGUAAAUAAUUAGUUCCUUUUAUAUGUAAACUGCUAUAGUUAUUUUUCUCAGUUCAACAGCAGUGCUGUUAAGUUACUUAGCAAAACAACAAAAAAUGAAUGCUGUGUCCUUUAUGGUUAGUAAACUAUAAACCUGUGUGAUUCCUCACAGGUAUUUGGCUUAACCUUUUGCCCAAUAUAGGGUUUUUGGACAAGUAAUCAGAUAAUAUAUGGAUAAACAAUGUGGGAAAUAAGAGGAGACUAUAACCAUAAUUUUUGUCUUUUAAAUUUGAGCUGAAAUCAUUGUAAAGAAAUGUAUAUUGUGCUUCUUGUUCAGAUUAGAGUCUAUGACACUUAGCUGUCUGGGUAAUCUUUCAUUGCAGGUGUAAAUCACACUGUUUUUUUCAGAAAUUUAUUAGGGUUUUUAAUGAAAAAAGGAAGUCUUCAUUUUAUACAUCAUCAGGAAAAAUUAUACCUACCAAAUAAAUGUUUCUUGUCCUUGAGAAAAGAACAGUGAAUUGAAAAGAGAAUGCUCCUUUCCAGAUAAAUAUAUUUUGGUGAUUUUGGACAAGUUCACACACAUUUAAAUGUUAUAUGCUAAUUCUCUUCAAAAGUCCUAAAAAUACACAUCUGACCAGGAAAGAAACCCAGUCCCCCUGAAAUGUAUCAGACCCUGAGAUUUUGUUUUCCUUCUCCAGUGGCUCCUGCUCAUGUCCUAAAUUUCUCAUAUAAGUAAUAGAUGUGGUAGAAGUAAGGUAUUGGAAGUUGAGUGGUGAGAGGAUGAAUAAGGUUGCUCUGCCUUCUUUUGGUAGUGCAGCUUCCUUCAGUUCUAGUGUAGUGGUUCUGCACAUUAGAAUUACCAUGGUUGAGAAGCUUCAUUAAAAAAUUAUUGCUGUAUCUAGAGGCUGAAGUUGUAGUUUAGUGGAAGAGUGCUUGCUUAGAAUGUGUGAGGCAGUGGGUUCGAUUCUUAGCAUUAUAUAUAAAUAAAUAAAAUAAAGAUCCAUCAACAAGUAAAAAAUGUUUAAAAAAAUUAUUACUGUAUCUGGACCUUUUACCCAGAGUGUCUGAUUUAGUUGACCUGGAGUGUGAUUCCACACAGGUAUUUUCUAGACAGUUUCCUGUGUGAUUUUAAUGCGCUGGAGGGGUUGAAAACCUUUGCUCUUAAUGGGAUUCACUUGUUUCUCUUCUCUUUAACAACGUAUUUUGGAAUUUAUUUCAUGUUAAUACUUAGAAAUCAACAUUUUGUGUGUGUGUGUGUGUUGCUGAGGAUUAAAUCUAGGGCCUUGUGCAUGCUAGGUAAGCACUCUUCCAUGGAGCUACAAAGAGAGCCCUCUAAUUUUUCUUUUUAACUCCCAGUAGUGUAUAAAUAUACUAAAGCUUAUUUAUCAUGCUUUUUUGGUGGACAUUUAGGUUUUAUAUUAUAAUGCAGUGUAAAUUUCUGGAACAAAAAUCCUCAAAACAUAGUCAUUUAAACCAAAUAAAGAUUUAUUUCUCUUUUAUAAAAUAGUUCAUUUGUAAAUGGUAUUUGGUGGGAGACCUGUAGUCCUUCAUUACAUGACUUCUGUCUUGAGUAUAGAAUGACUGUUGCAGCUUUCUUCAGUUGUAUGCAAGCCAGCAAAGAGAGGAAAAGACAAUGUACUCCUUUUACAUACCAUCCAGAAAUGUUAGUAUCUGUCCUGGUGGCCAGAAAGUCAUUGCAUGACCAUUCUCACUUGCAAAGAUGGUUGGAAAUCUACCUAUAUACUUGCUAAAACUUGGGAGUCCUGCUGUUAAAGCACAAAGCAGAAGAAAGGGUGUUAGUGGAUAAGUAGCAAUGUAUGCCACCCACAGAUUGCUUCCUACCUUGCUACUAUAAAUAAUGUAAUGAAUAUUCUUAAGUAUGUUUUUGGAGAUAUAUAUUUGUAAGAUAAAUUAUUAAGAAUUGCUGAGUCAAAGGAUAAGUGUAUCUUUUAUUUCAGUGUUACUAAAUUUGUAAUGUCUAUGUUUAAGGGAUGUCAUAAUAUUAAAAAAAUUCUCAAUAAGAAUAUUCAUGUAGGCUUAAUCAUUAUACACUGAAGCUCUCAGGACCCAUCUCCCUGAAACUGGACUCCUAGAUUAAUAUAAAUCAAGAGGAAAGCUCUUUGGCUAGUAUAAUCUUAGAUUUCAUUUACUGUAUGAUAUAAUAGGCCAUAGGAAUCAAGCACAAUUAAGGUUCAAAUUUAAGAGGAAGGGAGCCUUUCAUAAAGCCUUUUAUAAAUUCCGAAAGUGUAAUAAAUUCCUAAGUAUCUUUGUAAUUUCUCAAUUUCAUCUGGUUUCUGUUACCAUGCAAUAAAAGGGCUAGGAUGAGGAGUUUCCGAUAAUGUUUUUUCUGGGCUCCUGACUGAUCCUUUGAAAAUCUAAGAUGUACACCACUACUUAUAAGUUUAAUUUUUUGCUCUGCAAAACCAUCUGGAGUAUAAAUAUAUACAGAUGGGUUUACAGAGAUCAGUUUACCUAUCAAGAGAAUUGUUUUGUGAGAGGAGUGCUAAAUCUCCAAAGAGCAAAGAAAAUCCAGCACAUAGAUCUUUGGUCAUUCAAACCAUGUACCCAAGGAGCCUGGUCAGAGGCUAGAAGGGGGUAGAGCAGUAGGUUUACUUGAGACCUCAAUUAUAACUAGUAUCAGUUGCAUCUCUGUAAUUUCCUUCUGUUUCUUUGUUUUGUUAGAUCAGUACUCUCUUUUAAAAAAAAUAUAGUGAACUCUUAAAAACUUCCAUUAGGAUUUGAUUCCUAUCACCACAAAAAUAAAUAAACAACAACAAUAACAAAAAAUCUCUUGUCAUUAAGAGAUAAAUUUUUAUAAUUUUUUCUAGUGUAGUGAUAGAUUAAUAGAUCACAUUCUUUCCUAAGCUUUUAAUUGCAUGCACUUGUAAGAGGACUCAUCAGUGAUAGAAAUUUGGUUUAUAGGAUAAUAUAAUUUACAUCAUAACAGUAGCUAAAGCUUCUCUAGAGUGCUGCAUAAGUUUCCAGUGUGUCUACAUCCUUGUAGCAUCUCUGUAGGAUUGAGGAGGUGUUUGCAACUUGGGAAAUUAAGUUUAAAGAGGUUGGAUUUUGCUUAGCAUUUUUUUGUCUGGGCCUAGAACUCCAGUCUUCCAGCUCCAAAUGUGCUCUUGAUCUUACCCUUCCAAAGCUUACUCUUUGUGGAAGGAAUAAAUUCAGGACUUCAUUCUUAUCAACUGAGCUAGCUGACCUGCUUGGCCACAGCAAGUGAAGAAGGGGAAAAGUAACUUAUUUUUCUUUCUGUAUCAUAAAACUACAACUGAGGUUAUAUUGUGUAAUUAUUUCCAUGAUACAGAAAAAUUCUGGUAGGAAUAUUUGUUACCAGAUGUUUUGACUUGAGUCAGUGUUGGAAACUAGGUAGCUUCUUAAUUUUGAGACUCCUUUCAAUUUAAGAAUGCCAUCUGGUGGUGGUAGAUGGAGUUGACUCAUUUUUGGCCUGUGGCUUUGCUUGUAAUUAUGAAAGUUCUGUCCUGGAAAAGCGUGUAAUCAGAAGCAGGAAUGUAAUGUGAUUUUUUUUUUUUUUUUUUUUAGUUUCCAAAUCUUUGGGAUUAAAGAAACAACUUUUUUAAAACACAGAGACAUCACCUUUUUGUUUAAUUCUAACACUCAUUUUUUUUUUUUUUAAUGUAACUCAUGACCCAGUGUAGAUUAUGAAAUCAUUUAAGUGGUUGAAACACCUCUGAGUUUAUGGCUCAAAGAUUUUUAUAUUUGAUCUUUUUUUUUCAAAUUGUGGAUGAUAAUUUGUUAAUGGAUUAUGAAGUUGAGUUAGUAUCUUGUCACCAUCAUUAAAAAAUAGAAGUGAAAAAGAAAAUAUAAUAGUACUUUUAAUGCAGAAAGUUUGUUAAAUAAACUUUUGUUUCAUAUACAUUUACAUGUAUGUGAGUGUUCUGGGUUACAAUUUUAAUAUGUAUUACUUUGGAUUGCAGCCAACCAUUUGCAAACUACUAAUUAUUGUGAUAGCCCCAUCUACUGGUACUAAAGGAUAUUGUAACUGAAGGAUUUUAGGUGGUGGUUUAUGGUUUAUGCUCUGUGCCUUUGUAUAGUCUUUUCCUUUGUGAUUUGAAGAGUAUAUAUAUAUAUUUUUUUUUCUGAGUAAUAUUUGUUAUUGACACAUGUCUAGAUUCUUUCUGAUCAAUACCAGAUGCAGGAUGUUUUGGAGAAAUCUGAUCAUUUGUUGGCUGCAG